This 329-nucleotide unclassified non-coding RNA is filed under the name soil metagenome. Its description in RNAcentral is "partial contains 5.8S ribosomal RNA, internal transcribed spacer 2, and large subunit ribosomal RNA". The stretch from base 1 to 120 matches the Rfam family "5.8S ribosomal RNA", at positions 35 to 154 of the family's 154-position model. The record is from RNAcentral.
GAUGAAGAACGCAGCGAAAUGCGAUAAGUAAUGUGAAUUGCAGAAUUCAGUGAAUCAUCGAAUCUUUGAACGCACAUUGCGCCCCCUGGUAUUCCGGGGGGCAUGCCUGUCCGAGCGUCAUUACAACCCUCAAGCUCAGCUUGGUGUUGGGCCCCGCCGCCCCGGCGGGCCCUAAAGUCAGUGGCGGUGCCGUCCGGCUCCGAGCGUAGUAAUUCUUCUCGCUCUGGAGGUCCGGUCGUGUGCUCGCCAGCAACCCCUAAUUUUUUUAAGGUUGACCUCGGAUCAGGUAGGGAUACCCGCUGAACUUAAGCAUAUCAAUAAGCGGAGGA